RNAcentral lists this ribosomal RNA (458 nucleotides) under Streptococcus cristatus. RNAcentral describes it as "bacterial SSU rRNA". It matches the Rfam family "Bacterial small subunit ribosomal RNA", at positions 28 to 472 of the family's 1533-position model. The record is from RNAcentral. Lineage: Bacteria; Bacillati; Bacillota; Bacilli; Lactobacillales; Streptococcaceae.
GACGAACGCUGGCGGCGUGCCUAAUACAUGCAAGUAGAACGCUGAAGGAGGAGCUUGCUCUUCUGGAUGAGUUGCGAACGGGUGAGUAACGCGUAGGUAACCUGCCUGGUAGCGGGGGAUAACUAUUGGAAACGAUAGCUAAUACCGCAUAACAUUGACUAUUGCAUGAUAGUCAAUUGAAAGGUGCAAAUGCACCACUACCAGAUGGACCUGCGUUGUAUUAGCUAGUUGGUGGGGUAACGGCUCACCAAGGCGACGAUACAUAGCCGACCUGAGAGGGUGAUCGGCCACACUGGGACUGAGACACGGCCCAGACUCCUACGGGAGGCAGCAGUAGGGAAUCUUCGGCAAUGGACGGAAGUCUGACCGAGCAACGCCGCGUGAGUGAAGAAGGUUUUCGGAUCGUAAAGCUCUGUUGUAAGAGAAGAACGAGUGUGAGAGUGGAAAGUUCACACUGU